This 303-nucleotide ribosomal RNA is filed under the name uncultured bacterium. RNAcentral describes it as "partial 16S ribosomal RNA". It matches the Rfam family "Bacterial small subunit ribosomal RNA", at positions 507 to 808 of the family's 1533-position model. The record is from RNAcentral.
AGCAGUCGCCGCGGUAAUACGUAGGCCCCGAGCGUUGUCCGGAUUUAUUGGGCGUAAAGCGAGCGCAGGCGGUUAGAUAAGUCUGAAGUUAAAGGCUGUGGCUUAACCAUAGUACGCUUUGGAAACUGUUUAACUUGAGUGCAGAAGGGGAGAGUGGAAUUCCAUGUGUAGCGGUGAAAUGCGUAGAUAUAUGGAGGAACACCGGUGGCGAAAGCGGCUCUCUGGUCUGUAACUGACGCUGAGGCUCGAAAGCGUGGGGAGCAAACAGGAUUAGAUACCCGAGUAGUCCCUGUCUCUUAUACC